CAUCCACACGGUGAUGUCAGGAAUUCUGCUGACAACAGAAAGAACAGACGAGACCCUAACCACUCAUCAGAUUGCCUGCAGGACAGCAGUGAUAUAGAAGUAGACAUGACAUCAGACGACGAUGACGACGAUGACGAUGAUGAUGAUGGGACAGCAUCCAAAAGCUCCAAAGAUCUUCAAGAUAUCCUGGAGGAUGUUUAAUUCUUCGCCCUACAUCUGAAUCUACAAUGUCUUCUCUGCAAGUCUUCGUAUUUAUUUAGCAGCCUUCGAGCAGAUAGCUUGCGUAAGUGAUUUGUUUUUCGUUGAAAUCCUAACGAGCUUAGAAUAGUUUUUAUAUCACGAUACCGCUUUAUUAUAAAGGGCUCCUCGAAUGAAACGAAUGGAUCUCGAUAACAUUUAUAGCACGUAACCAUAAUAUCUUAUUAACGGUAACGUUGACUGACGUUUAAUUUCCUUGUAACAUGUGUUUAGUGUGCUGUGCUUAUUUUACCUUGUGCAAAUCAAAGUGCACUUUUAUCUUAUUUGCACAAAUGACGCUUUGGCCUAUAUCCUUAACAGCUGGAAGAUGAAUAGCAUUUAAAUAUAUAUGAUUUAAUUUAACAGAUGUAUGGAAUAAUAUUUUGUCUGAUCGUUGGGGUUUGUAUUUGUAAUACUAUUUAAUAAAGACUGAAUAAUAAUCAUUUUAUAGUAAAAG
Cynoglossus semilaevis (tongue sole) is the source of this 694-nucleotide long non-coding RNA. RefSeq lists it as uncharacterized. The transcript is spliced from 2 exons. Lineage: Eukaryota; Metazoa; Chordata; Actinopteri; Pleuronectiformes; Cynoglossidae. The record is from RefSeq and is a predicted model, not a curated record.